GUAGUUUAAUAUCUUUUCUUCUCCUUGACCAAUUCAAACAGACUGUUCUCCUUCACUCUCAAAUUUCUUCGUAUACUCCUCCCGCGCACACCGCCGUGGCAAUCGCGGUCUCCAGCCUCGGGGGCGGGCUCCAAAUCUGCUGUCGUCGCUGGCGAGUCGCUGGCGGGCCUUGACUUUUAGCGGCAACGACUUCGCCAUGGCCACUUGCGCAUUUUCUUCUCCUCCGCCCUAGCCCAGUGGCCAUUUCCUCUUCACCGCCAGACCCAGAAGAGAGCAUCUUCUUUCUCCCCCAAAGUUCCGGCGAGACUCCAACGGGCCUUGACCAUCAACGGCGUCAACGAGAACCACCGCGCGUCAGCCGCUAGCCAUUCCUCCUCCGCACGAGCUCGCCGCAAGCUCUCCGUCGUUGAAGCCCUCAUCUUCUUGCCGCUCUGCGACGUCGGAACCCUAGGCCGUCCGCCGCUGCCAUCUCCGUCAAUAUAGGUGAGCUGGAUAGCCUACUGUCAGUUCAGUUCAAGUGGAUCAUAAAGAAGAACAAAGAAUGAGUAGAAGACCACCUCCUGAUCCCGUGGCAGUGCUAAGAGGCCAUCGAGCUUCGGUCACAGACAUUUCUUUUCAUCCCUUUAAGCCGAUAUUAUUCUCCGGUUCUGCUGAUGGUGAAGUCCGAAUUUGGGAUACCCUUCAACAUCGAACCGUGUCAUCUGCAUGGUUACAUAGUGCUGCACAUGGUAUUGUUGUU
Molecule: non-coding RNA, 739 nt
Organism: Vigna umbellata (rice bean)
Lineage: Eukaryota; Viridiplantae; Streptophyta; Magnoliopsida; Fabales; Fabaceae
Source: RefSeq, a predicted model, not a curated record